RNAcentral lists this ribosomal RNA (497 nucleotides) under uncultured bacterium. Its description in RNAcentral is "partial 16S ribosomal RNA". It matches the Rfam family "Bacterial small subunit ribosomal RNA", at positions 28 to 507 of the family's 1533-position model. The record is from RNAcentral.
GAUGAACGCUGGCGGCGUGCCUAAUACAUGCCAGUCGAGCGAACGGACGAGAAGCUUGCUUCUCUGAUGUUAGCGGCGGACGGGUGAGUAACACGUAGAUAACCUACCUAUAAGACUGGGAUAACUUCGGGAAACCGGAGCUAAUACCGGAUAAUAUUUUGAACCGCAUGGUUCAAAAGUGAAAGACGGUCUUGCUGUCACUUAUAGAUGGAUCCGCGCUGCAUUAGCUAGUUGGUAAGGUAACGGCUUACCAAGGCAACGAUGCAUAGCCGACCUGAGAGGGUGAUCGGCCACACUGGAACUGGGACACGGUCCAGACUCCUACGGGAGGCAGCAGUAGGGAAUCUUCCGCAAUGGGCGAAAGCCUGACGGAGCAACGCCGCGUGAGUGAUGAAGGUCUUCGGAUCGUAAAACUCUGUUAUUAGGGAAGAACAUAUGUGUAAGUAACUGUGCACAUCUUGACGGUACCUAAUCAGAAAGCCACGGCUAACUACGUG